CUUGAGGAGUGGCUUCCGGAGCUAACGCGUUAAGUCGACCGCCUGGGGAGUACGGCCGCAAGGUUAAAACUCAAAUGAAUUGACGGGGGCCCGCACAAGCGGUGGAGCAUGUGGUUUAAUUCGAUGCAACGCGAAGAACCUUACCUACUCUUGACAUCCAGAGAACUUAGCAGAGAUGCUUUGGUGCCUUCGGGAACUCUGAGACAGGUGCUGCAUGGCUGUCGUCAGCUCGUGUUGUGAAAUGUUGGGUUAAGUCCCGCAACGAGCGCAACCCUUAUCCUUUGUUGCCAGCGAUUCGGUCGGGAACUCAAAGGAGACUGCCAGUGAUAAACUGGAGGAAGGUGGGGAUGACGUCAAGUCAUCAUGGCCCUUACGAGUAGGGCUACACACGUGCUACAAUGGCAUAUACAAAGAGAAGCGACCUCGCGAGAGCAAGCGGACCUCAUAAAGUAUGUCGUAGUCCGGAUUGGAGUCUGCAACUCGACUCCAUGAAGUCGGAAUCGCUAGUAAUCGUGGAUCAGAAUGCCACGGUGAAUACGUUCCCGGGCCUUGUACACACCGCCCGUCACACCAUGGGAGUGGGUUGCAAAAGAAGUAGGUAGCUUAACCUUCGGGAGGGCGCUUACCACUUUGUGAUUCAUGACUGGGGUGAAGUCG
RNAcentral lists this ribosomal RNA (657 nucleotides) under Enterobacteriaceae bacterium EKM602Z. RNAcentral's name for it is "bacterial SSU rRNA". It matches the Rfam family "Bacterial small subunit ribosomal RNA", at positions 831 to 1488 of the family's 1533-position model. Lineage: Bacteria; Pseudomonadati; Pseudomonadota; Gammaproteobacteria; Enterobacterales; Enterobacteriaceae. The record is from RNAcentral.